This 595-nucleotide ribosomal RNA is filed under the name Lithoscaptus tri. RNAcentral describes it as "partial 16S ribosomal RNA". It matches the Rfam family "Bacterial large subunit ribosomal RNA", at positions 1830 to 2666 of the family's 2925-position model. The record is from RNAcentral. Lineage: Eukaryota; Metazoa; Arthropoda; Malacostraca; Decapoda; Cryptochiridae.
CAUGUCUAUUUGUAGUUAUAAAUAGUCCAAUCUGCCCACUGAUAAUUAUAUUAAAGGGCCGCAGUAUUCUAACUGUGCAAAGGUAGCAUAAUCGUUAGUUCUUUAAUUGAGAUCUUGUAUGAAUGAUUAGACAAAAAAAUUACUGUCUUUAUAAUAAAAAUUGAAUUUAACUUUUAAGUGAAAAGGCUUAAAUUGUUUAGAGUGACGAUAAGACCCUAUAAAGCUUAAUAUUUUAUAAAAAUGUAAAUAAUAUAAAGUAAUAAAAUUUUAAAUAUUAUGAAUAUUUUAUUGGGGUGAUAGAAGUAAAAUUAUUGUAACUGCUUUGGAUUAAGACAAUUAUAAUUGAUUGAUUAAUAUUAAAUGAUCCUAUAAUAUAGAGUAUAAGAUUAAGUUACUUUAGGGAUAACAGCGUUAUUUUUUUUAAGAGUUCUUAUCGAAAGAAAAGAUUGCGACCUCGAUGUUGAAUUAAAAUAUCUAUAUAAUUGUAGGAGUUAUAUUAGAAGGUCUGUUCGACCUUUAAAUUUUUACAUGAUUUGAGUUCAGACCGGUUUAAACCAGGUCGGUUUCUAUCUUCUAAUUUAAAUUAAUUACUUUA